UCGAUAUAGCCAGGCAAAAAAUAGUUUCGGCGCCCCAUAAGGUGGAACUGCUUGCGUCUAAAAGACAGAACAUCUAGCUAUCUAUUAGUAUAGCAGUCCUAUCUUGAUACACAGCAUAGCAUAAUACUGAUCCUGUUUAACAACAGUGUCAAUUUUAUACAUUGUUCUGUGUUAAUUAUUAAACAGUCACACAUUUUUACUAUAGUUUUUAUAUCCGGUUACUUUUACUCGUCAGGUUGUUCCAUCAAUCCAACGGACCUUGAAAUAUAAUAACUUUUGAAUUAGACAAAAGUUAGUCGGAAAGUACUUCAAUCUUCUGAAAACUUAUAGGUGAAACCUGGCUGAAUGUUCUUCAAAACAAAUUAGUUCAAAAAAAAAACAUUUUCUACUCUUGAAAAACGUCACUCAGUAAUCAAGUUUUUGUCACUCAAAGGCCGAUGAGCUACGAAAAUUUGUCCGACAGUGAUGUAAAUAAUAGUAAUAACUAGCGAGAACUUGAAAUCUCAGAGCUCUCUCAGGUUAAAUUGCCAUUUCACGUAUAGAGUAUUACAGAAAUAUAAGCUAAAUAUUGAAAAUGCAUAAACUGAGUAGGAGAAUUAGCCCCCUGUGAAGUGGCUUAAAAGGCCAGCCGGAAGUACGUGUAGUGUACCCCCAUGCGCAAUUUUAAUCGACAGAAAACACAUUUGCCACCAUAAACGAGGUAUAUUUCAAUUUUUAUCGCCAGCCUGAGAAAAACAGGCCAGCCUGUUUUUGGCAUUGGCCUGAGAAAGAUUGCCGCUGAAAUCGGAAGCAUCUACUGCUAUAAAAUACUCGCAGAAAAUUAGAUAGUUAAUGCAGCUUGCUCUUUUGAAUUGCUCAAAAGACUCAUGAGUUGCUGGCAUGCAGCCUGAUUCCUCGAUGACAAUGUCAGACCUCAUCGCCAUAUCUAGACUGAACGGAGAAAUAUCCAACAUUGGGUUCAGCCCAUUUGUUCCCGAUUCAAAUCCGUGCGAUGCCUUAAAAGGGGGCGAUUACUAAACAAGCAUACCCCACUCUUGGUUUACUUCGAAAAGCCGCUGACAGAGAGAUUAGAUAUGGAAAUAUGAAUAUGGCCUGCUAGCGCGCUGAAGCAAGUAGGUAAGCAAUCAAGGAGAGCACCUGCCACACAUAUUAUGAAGUCGCAUUUCUAAUCCAAUAAUACAAUGAUUUGCUUUACUAUAAGACUACAUCAAUUUGUAUGUGCCUGAUUCGACAGUCUACCAAACUGUGACCCUGAAUAAAUUUGACCAUUAAAAUGGUAAAAAAAAAAAGGUAAGCAACGUCAAUUAAACCUAUGAUAGGACCGGCCUGUCUGCUUGCAACCUAGCAGCAGUAAGUGCCAUUUUUAGCGAGUAUAACGAAGUCUCAGCCUAUAGCUGCUAGCAUCAUUGUCUUAUCUUAUUUUGUUCUGUGUUCUUUGUGCACUUUAUAGAAAAUGGCAAGAACAGUCUCAAUCUAUCUUGUAAGUUAUUACCGUACUAGCACCUGUUCCAUCUAAUUGUCGCACUUCGGCAAAACAGCAACAGAAGUAGCGGUGCCUUAUUAUUUCGAAAUAAUUUUUCGAAGCAAUGAAGGUCAAGGAUCACUACGACACUCUUAGUUCGUAGUAAAAAAAAAAGUACUUCCGAAGCAGUAAAGUUAUCUUUUCUGGCAUCGAGAAGAUCGUUUUGUAAUUUGGUAAACCCCUAUUUAUCCAAAGGAAAGGGUAUGAUUUACAUAAAAUGGGACGACACUCUUAUUUACCAGUUAAAUAGAUACCAUAGAAAAUGAGAGAUGUCGAGAGGCAGAGAUCGUGUCGAGGAGGCAAGAUCGUUGCGGGCGACAGCAUACGCGCGCCUCUGUUCUCGGUUGGAGCUCAUUGUGUGACAGUUAUGUGUUGUUCCCCGCACACAGGCCAUUUGCGCCUGACCUCGGCCGAUUUGGCCCGACUGAAUGAGGAUCGCCCUCGAGUGCCAUAUGGCCGCCCAUCAACCAGGCGCCCUGCCGCCCACCAAAGGCGCAAGCUGAUAACUUCAAUGAGAAGAGAAGUCCGCUCUUGUCCUUGUGGUCUUCUCUGCUUGAAACCCCUCGAAAGUCAUGUUUUUCGAAAACAGAUAGGCAGACUGAACGCAGAAAAGAUUGGCUUCAUUAUAAAUCUAACAUGAAACCAUGUGCGAAGUGAAACGCGACUUCGGCGGCAUUUUGGUCAAUUUCAUUUAUUAUUGAAGCAUUCAUCUAUUGGACUCGGAUUGCUUUGUCUGUCAGAUUUAGCAAACGUCAAUUGGUUUCGAGCGUGAGCAAAUGUCUUGGGUCCGGAUUCUUACUCAAGGAUGUAGUACGAAGUUCAAUAUAAUAUCGACAGAGAAAACGUAUUACAGGCUUCAUCCACUAGAUCAUAGUAUCACUGUCACAUUCACCGGAAUCAGUGCACGGCAUCGUGGGCAAAUGUGUUGAAACUGCAGCGAAUAGCAAUAUCAGAAAGUUAACGAAGAAAUCUACAUGUCCAAUAAAACCGUUUCUCUUAGCCAAUUGACAUGAAGAUAACCAAUCAUCGAAC
Molecule: long non-coding RNA, 2554 nt
Filed under: Varroa destructor (honeybee mite)
Lineage: Eukaryota; Metazoa; Arthropoda; Arachnida; Mesostigmata; Varroidae
Description: uncharacterized LOC111254897
Source: RNAcentral